ACUCCUACGGGAGGCAGCAGUGGGAAUAUUGCACAAUGGGCGCAAGCCUGAUGCAGCCAUGCCGCGUGUGUGAAGAAGGCCUUCGGGUUGUAAAGCACUUUCAGUCGUGAGGAAGGUAGUGUAAGUUAACUAGCUGUAUUAUUUGACGUUAGCGACAGAAGAAGCACCGGCUAACUCCGUGCCAGCAGCCGCGGUAAUACGGAGGGUGCGAGCGUUAAUCGGAAUUACUGGGCGUAAAGCGCAUCGCAGGUGGAUUUGUUAAGUCAGAUGUG
RNAcentral lists this ribosomal RNA (272 nucleotides) under uncultured bacterium. Its description in RNAcentral is "partial 16S ribosomal RNA". It matches the Rfam family "Bacterial small subunit ribosomal RNA", at positions 335 to 596 of the family's 1533-position model. The record is from RNAcentral.